This 253-nucleotide ribosomal RNA is filed under the name uncultured bacterium. RNAcentral describes it as "partial 16S ribosomal RNA". It matches the Rfam family "Bacterial small subunit ribosomal RNA", at positions 524 to 776 of the family's 1533-position model. The record is from RNAcentral.
UACGGAGGGGACUAGCGUUGUUCGGAAUUACUGGGCGUAAAGCGCACGUAGGCGGAUUUGUAAGUCAGGGGUGAAAUCCCGGGGCUCAACCUCGGAACUGCCUUUGAUACUGCGAAUCUCGAGUCCGGAAGAGGUGAGUGGAAUUCCUAGUGUAGAGGUGAAAUUCGUAGAUAUUAGGAAGAACACCAGUGGCGAAGGCGGCUCACUGGACCGGUACUGACGCUGAUGCGCGAAAGCGUGGGGAGCAAACGGG